GAUGAACGCUGGCGGCGUGCCUAAUACAUGCCAGUCGAGCGAACGGACGAGAAGCUUGCUUCUCUGAUGUUAGCGGCGGACGGGUGAGUAACACGUGGAUAACCUACCUAUAAGACUGGGAUAACUUCGGGAAACCGUAGCUAAUACCGGAUAAUAUUUUGAACCGCAUGGUUCAAAAGUGAAAGACGGUCUUGCUGUCACUUAUAGAUGGAUCCGCGCUGCAUUAGCUAGUUGGUAAGGUAACGGCUUACCAAGGCAACGAUGCAUAGCCGACCUGAGAGGGUGAUCGGCCACACUGGAACUGAGACACGGUCCAGACUCCUACGGGAGGCAGCAGUAGGGAAUCUUCCGCAAUGGGCGAAAGCCUGACGGAGCAACGCCGCGUGAGUGAUAAAGGUCUUCGGAUCGUAAAACUCUGUUAUUAGGGAAGAACAUAUGUGUAAGUAACUGUGCACAUCUUGACGGUACCUAAUCAGAAAGCCACGGCUAACUACGUG
This 497-nucleotide ribosomal RNA is filed under the name uncultured bacterium. Its description in RNAcentral is "partial 16S ribosomal RNA". It matches the Rfam family "Bacterial small subunit ribosomal RNA", at positions 28 to 507 of the family's 1533-position model. The record is from RNAcentral.